UCCCCUGUAGCUCAACUGGCAGAGCGUUCGGCUGUUAACCGAAGGGUUGAAGGUUCGAGUCCUUCCGGGGGAGCAA
This 76-nucleotide transfer RNA is filed under the name Mycobacterium heckeshornense. RNAcentral's name for it is "tRNA-Asn". It matches the Rfam family "tRNA". From Rfam's summary of the family: Transfer RNA (tRNA) molecules are approximately 80 nucleotides in length. Their secondary structure includes four short double-helical elements and three loops (D, anti-codon, and T loops). Lineage: Bacteria; Bacillati; Actinomycetota; Actinomycetes; Mycobacteriales; Mycobacteriaceae. The record is from RNAcentral.